This 441-nucleotide ribosomal RNA is filed under the name uncultured bacterium. RNAcentral's name for it is "partial 16S ribosomal RNA". It matches the Rfam family "Bacterial small subunit ribosomal RNA", at positions 338 to 795 of the family's 1533-position model. The record is from RNAcentral.
CCUACGGGAGGCAGCAGUGGGGAAUAUUGCACAAUGGGGGAAACCCUGAUGCAGCGACGCCGCGUGAGUGAAGAAGUAUUUCGGUAUGUAAAGCUCUAUCAGCAGGAACGAGACAAGACGGUACCUGACUAAGAAGCCCCGGCUAACUACGUGCCAGCAGCCGCGGUAAUACGUAGGGGGCAAGCGUUAUCCGGAAUCACUGGGUGGAAAGGGAGCGUAGACGGCUGAGCAAGCCUGAAGUGAAAGGCGGGGGCCCAACCCCCGGACUGCUUUGGGAACUGUACGGCUGGAGUGCAGGAGAGGUAAGUGGAAUUCCUGGUGUAGCGGUGAAAUGCGUAGAUAUUAGGAGGAACACCAGUGGCGAAGGCGGCUUACUGGACUGUAACUGACGUUGAGGCUCGAAAGCGUGGGGAGCAAACAGGAUUAGAUACCCCGGUAGUC